GCAAGUCGAACGGUAACAGGUCGCUGUGAUCUCUUCGGAGUGAACUUGACGCUGACGAGUGGCGGACGGGUGAGUAAUACUUAGGAAUCUACCCAGUAGCGGGGGACAACACGAGGAAACUCGUGCUAAUACCGCAUACGCCCUACGGGGGAAAGUGGAGGAUCUUCGGACUUCACACUAUUGGAUGAGCCUAAGUCGGAUUAGCUUGUUGGUGAGGUAAAGGCUCACCAAGGCAACGAUCCGUAGCUGGUCUGAGAGGACGAUC
RNAcentral lists this ribosomal RNA (265 nucleotides) under uncultured bacterium. RNAcentral describes it as "partial 16S ribosomal RNA". It matches the Rfam family "Bacterial small subunit ribosomal RNA", at positions 57 to 305 of the family's 1533-position model. The record is from RNAcentral.